GAAUGAAAUGAGAAAUGGAAUGUUUCCCUAUUGCUUUGAUGGCUGUGAUGAUGUUGAUAUUAGCUCUAUCUGAUCAUUA
Molecule: small nucleolar RNA, 79 nt
Organism: Hibiscus syriacus
Lineage: Eukaryota; Viridiplantae; Streptophyta; Magnoliopsida; Malvales; Malvaceae
Product: small nucleolar RNA Z102/R77
Exons: 1
Source: RefSeq, a predicted model, not a curated record